GAAAUGCGAUAAGUAAUGUGAAUUGCAGAAUUCAGUGAAUCAUCGAAUCUUUGAACGCACCUUGCGCUCCUUGGUAUUCCUUGGAGCAUGCCUGUUUGAGUAUCAUGAAAUCUUCAAAGUAAAUCUUUUGUUAACUCAAUUGGUUUCUACUUUGGUAUUGGAGGUCUUUGCAGCUUCACACCUGCUCCUCUUUGUUCAUUAGCUGGAUCUCAGUGUUAUGCUUGGUUCCACUCGGCGUGAUAGUUAUCUAUCGCUGAGGACACUGUAAAAGGUGGCCAAGGUAAAUGCAGAUGAACCGCUUCUAAUAGUCCAUUGACUUGGACAAUACUUUUAUGAUCUGAUCUCAAAUCAGGUAGGACUACCCGCUGAACUUAAGC
RNAcentral lists this unclassified non-coding RNA (377 nucleotides) under plant metagenome. RNAcentral describes it as "partial contains 5.8S ribosomal RNA, internal transcribed spacer 2, and large subunit ribosomal RNA". The stretch from base 1 to 105 matches the Rfam family "5.8S ribosomal RNA", at positions 50 to 154 of the family's 154-position model. The record is from RNAcentral.